Molecule: long non-coding RNA, 416 nt
Filed under: Malus domestica (apple)
Lineage: Eukaryota; Viridiplantae; Streptophyta; Magnoliopsida; Rosales; Rosaceae
Description: long non-coding RNA (MDOM_LNC016184)
Source: RNAcentral
GAAAACAGAAUAGUUCUCAGCCUCCCAGCCUCCCAGCUUCCUUUCAUCUGCCUCCUCCUCUUUCUCUCUGCUAUUUUUUUAUUUUUAUUUUUAUAUUUUGGUUCUUUUUUCGUGAUAAAAAUGGAGGAAAAGAAAUGUGGUGAGUGCUAUCGUGCGCCUCUUGAUGAAGCCCGGAUCCCAUUAAUUUGGAUUUUAGGGUUUUAUGUUCUUAAUAUAAAGAACGAGGAGGCAAAUUUGGUGCAGGAAUGUUGAGUCGCUUUGCCUUUGAAUUCUUACCGGGCUCAGUGAAUAACACCCUGCCAAAUCCCCUCUUCUUUUUCUUUAUUCUUUUUUCUUUUUUCAUCCGGUUUUAUUUUAUUUUUUUGUUUCGUUUUGCAUCUGAUAUUUUAUGAAACGGAUUUUAUUGAAGAAUUUUG